UAAAAUACCAUAAGGUUCAAAACAUUUAAAAUACUGAUAAUGAAUAAUAACAUCUAAAGCUGAAAUACUGUUUGAAAAGCCUUUAACUAAAAUUAUCUGAAAGUGGAGUUGAUGGGAUAAGCCCCCAACUAACUCUGACUAUUGAGCUACUACUAAAUUUAAAUACUGAAUUAAGAAGCAUAUCCUCAAUAGAUAAGGACUCACUGCUAAAUCUGCUACUGUUGACUGAAUCUGGCUAAGCGCUGUCAGGAACAUGAGCAUCCGAACCUAUGAUAUAAAACAUCAUAGCACAAGAAACGAGUAUGCGAUCAGUACGUGGGAAUGUACUGGUAUGCUAAAUGAGGUAAGGCUGAAUGCAAGGGUUCAUAUGCAUAAACAAUAACUGACUAAAUGAUAUAGAGUAACUGAAUAUAAUAGUACGUGUAUACUAUAACUGAGCUUUUCCGAAACUAAGUACUGAGUUCUAAUAACUGUAUAAUUGAUAUAUGAAGUUACUGAUAACUGAUUUACUGAUACUUAUUGACUGUAGCUGAUAGUCCUGAUACUGUAGAACUGAACUGAUUUCUAGACUGAAGACUAAAACUGUGGGAGGUAAUCAUCUAACUGACAUGCCCCAAUAAGAUAAAAUACUGAGUUGGGGUCCAAUCUGUAACCCUAAUUAGAAGGGUGUCGGUACCGUGCCACGGAUAAAAACAACUGUUGUGGAGUCGGUCCUAACUAAUGGGUGACCCCUAAGAUCAGUCCUAAACUAACGGGUGAUCCCUGAGCAUGUCAGUCCUAUCUAAUGGGUGACAUCUCAUAACCUACGCUGGCUAUGUAGUUCUAGAACUUAUGGAUUGAUUCUAGGGACCCAGUCCUAACUGAAGGAUGAGACCCCAUCCCUAGGCUCACUCGGUGCUGAAUCCUACUCCCAACUGAAUAGACAUUGAAUUGAUUAUACUGAACUGGACUUGGACUGAUACAGAGUUUACUGAGUUUUCCUGAGUUCUACUGAUCAUGACAUGACUGAUACUAUUCCGUAACUGACACAGGCUCUAGAUAAACAACUAGAUUAUCGGAUAUUAAAUACCCCCAGGACUCGAUAGCAGGAAAGUAAAGUAUAGCAAUGAUCUUGAAUAACUUACAUUGUUCACUUGUACAUAUACUAGCAUGUCAUGAUUGCAUCAUUUAAUUCAUAUGGACAUUCUACCAAACACUUGGGGUGCACAACUUAAUGCACAUAUUCACGGAUAACAUAUAAACAUGGUAACUACAAUGCCCAACUUGCAAUUUCAUGGGUUUAACAUGCUAUUCAUAUAAUUUUGCUUAAGUACUAUUCUAGUUUCAUGAAUCUUAUCAUAAUCAUAGAUUUAAAACUAAAUUAACAUCAUCGAUACAUUAAUCACUUUGUAAACUCAAGGGUUUAUCAAGAUAAUCACAUAUUUAUCACACAUGCUAUUCAAUUUCAUGAAACUUGCACCUAAAUCAUGGAUUAAAACCCAACUAAUAUCAUGAACCUGAAUUCAAUCUAAUUCAAACAUGAAAAUCAUAAAUCUUGUAUUUUGAAAAAAAGAUUUUUGGGCUCCAUGGAAGGUAAGGAUCCAUGGAUGAACAUCAAACAUACCUUAAUUUAAUGAGUUCUUGGAGUUCUUGGAGAAAUUCUUGGGACUGACCUUGAUUCUUGAGAGCUAGGGUUUGUUUUCUUGAGAGAAAAAUACCUUUUGAUCUUGGAGAAAAGUGAAUAAUGAAGGGUUUUACACGUUUUUAGGGCUUAAAUCCUACAUUUGGGCGGAAUAAAAUCAUGGGAAAAGAUCGUUUUAACCUUAGGCGCAACUUUAAUUUUUUGUGAAAUUUUUCCGAUCUGGACCCCUAGCGCGAUGCGCCACUAUCGUGCCAGGCCACUGAAAAAUGACGACUGAAAAAUUGCAUGGUGGCGCGAUGCGGUACAAUCGCGUUGCCACCUUAGACGCAACCUGAAAGUUCAUCGCGAUGCGGUGGUAUCGCGUUGGAACACUGAAAAAGGACAAUUCUGAAAUUAAGCCUUGGUGCGACGCGCCAAUAUUGCGGAGGCUCACUGAUUUUUGACAAUUGCCAUUUUAGCUGGCUCCGCGAUGCACUGAUGGUUCAGGUGGUAUACUGUCAUACUAAAAUGACUCUAACUCUUUGCCCAGGUGUCGGAUUUGGGCGAAUUUGGUAUCAAUCUUAUUCAAUUUCCCACUCAAUGAAAAGACAAAAUCUUGAAAAUUUCACAUGUAUAAAAGUGUAUUCAUCUUUAAAACAAGUCUUUGACAUUUUUGGGACAAAUUUAAGCUAGGUCAAAGUACGGGGUGUUACAGUCUAUCAAGAAUAUAGAUAAGAUUUAUCAAGAUCUAUUUGAUAUCUACUAGUAUAUGAAAUAUCUAUCUUUUAGAGUGAAACUAGGAGUAUUUUCUCUGGAUUUUUGUUCAUUGUAUCCUCAAUUUGAUGAUCUCUCAUCCGUAGAGAAAUAAAGAAGUCUCCUCUCUUAUCUGUCUAUUUAUUUUUGUUGUUCUUACUCUGUAUUUCAUAACAAGAACCUUAUUAUUGUUAUUUUUGUUUUUUUGUGUGCGUAGAUGAAGGGAAUGAAAGUUGAUUCAUUCUUAUGAAAAAAGAUCAAUAUUAUUGGAAAUUUUCAACUCUUCACGAGACAUGCCACAUUUUGUCACUCCAACAAAAUGUAUAUACAUUACUCGUAGCAAACAAUUACAUAGCAUAUAAGACAUAUUAACCCAAGCAAAUUUUGUUAAUUUGGCAAAGAUUUAUGAAAAUAACAACAUUAAAAAAAAUUUAUGAAAGUGUCUAGUCAAGACAUAGGUUGUGAACAAGUGAAGCAAAUUUGACAAAAAACUCCACCUGGAAGAUACGUGACAAUCUGGUCCCUCUGGUUUGAAAAUGACAAAUAGGACCUAAAAUGACUUUUUAAAGUUGUUAAAAAAUAAUUUUUAAAAUUUUAAAUUAUGUUUGAAUAUGUAUUUUAUUUGUAAAAUUUUAAUAUUAUUCGAGUGGAGGUGAAAUUUCAAAUAAAAACUGCUCUAGGUCAGUUUUUAAAACUUAAAAAUAAAUUUUAAAAAGUUGAUCAAAUUAAACAAACAGUGUUUUCAAUGUUCUUUUUUUUUUUUUUUUUGAAAAAAAAUCAACUUCUAAAAUCUAUGAUUCAAUGUUAGCUAGAUCACAUCCAAAAUAAUAGGAAUAAUUAUUUAAAUUAUGAUCAAAUACUAUAAUUUUCAUUAAAACAAAAUAAUUUUUUUUAAAAAAAUAAAAAAUUCUCUUGAUCAAAUACCUAUUAAAUAUUUUUAUCCAAACAAGUGUCACGUAACUCUUGGGUAGGUGAGGUGGUGGGAAUGGAGGCUGUCGGCGUAGGCCUAUGGGGUAAAGAUGAAGUAUGUUUGAACGACAUGAAGAAAGAGAAUACUUGUGGGAUUUAGUUUUCUUUUGUUUUUUUUUUAUAAAAAAUAUAUUAUUUUCAUAUGGAGAGUGUUGAAUUGGGUUUGGUUCAGACCAAAAAAGUUAGAGAAACUGUUGAGGAAACAAGGUCUAAAAGGAAAUUCAUACAGAAUAUUGUAUGGGGACAUGGAAGAUUCUUCUAUGAUGAUUAAGGAAGCUUACUCAAAGCCUAUGAAUCUGUUUGAUGAUGAUAUAGCCCCAAGGAUAUUGCCUUUUAUUCUUGAAA
RNAcentral lists this long non-coding RNA (3667 nucleotides) under Capsicum annuum. RNAcentral describes it as "long non-coding RNA (CANN_LNC012135)". The record is from RNAcentral. Lineage: Eukaryota; Viridiplantae; Streptophyta; Magnoliopsida; Solanales; Solanaceae.